CCUCCAUACUCUAGCUAAUCUUGUAAAGCUACCAGGUGUGGGUUGCAAUCAUUUGUAGGUCUACAGAUCUCACAGAUUUCAUGAUUCAACACCAGUGAAGACUUCUUCAACUUGGAAGCUGCAACAGUUAGCUGGAUCUAGAGGUUGAAUUCCUGAGGAAUUGAUACCACUGUUCAAGACUUAUAAUUUUCGGAGUACUUCAUUUAUAGCACUGAGAGUGUGUGACUUUUCUAAUUGAAUUAUUGGUUUGGCCUGUUGUGGGAGUUUUUGAUAUGUAU
Molecule: long non-coding RNA, 278 nt
Organism: Solanum tuberosum (potato)
Lineage: Eukaryota; Viridiplantae; Streptophyta; Magnoliopsida; Solanales; Solanaceae
Exons: 3
Source: RefSeq, a predicted model, not a curated record